GGGGUCGAGCCAUGAAGACGACGAGCGUCGAGUUCAGGAGCGAGUCCUUGAGAUUGUCGAGGGUCCACAAGAGCGCGUGGUGGCUGCACUCGCUCUCGUCGAUCGCCACCAUCACCUUCCUCUUGUCCACGCCAUUGGUGGCCAAUACCUCCGCCAUAUCUCUAGGGGUCGAAAGAAAGACGGUACCUCAGUGGUUUUGGAGGUUCUCCAGAGCUGGAGCAAUUGCUUCCGUCAAGGUGGUUCGGAAACGGGAGGCGGUUUUCUCUUUUUCGCCUCGAAGGUCAAAACGACCAGUCAAAGCCUCGGAGUUUCGCCGCUGAAUGCAGAACUAGAGUCAAAAUGGCGGAUAAGCCUCUCCCACCCCCCUAGCGUUUCGCUUACUUCUCUUCUCCAUUAUUUCCUAUCCUUUAGUUUGCUCUUGCCACGUGGGUUGUCUGCAGAAACGCCACGAGCACGUUCUUCUCCAGCGGGAAAACUUUGGAGGGAAGGCGAAGGAAUCUGAAGAGGAAAAAUCCAUGGAAGGGUGGGGAAAAUGGUAAUUUGGAUCCUUCAGGUUCGUCUCCCACAUGGGUAUGCCCCAUCAAAGUUGUCUUUGUGUCGCUCUGGACACUUGAACUUGGUAAGAUCGUGAUCGAUAUGAUUGAGAUAUGGUAGGGACACUUCUGGUAGCGCACGCAAUGGGCUAUAACUAAUGCCGAUAAUUUACUUUGAAAGCGAUCGGAUCCCCACAACAAAAGCGAAAGAACCGGUAGUGGCCAUGAGGAUUUUGAGAUGAAAUUGACGUAGAUCGCGAGUAGGGUACGUGGUGAGCCGAAACAAAGUGAAACUUUGGGGCUAAUGUGAAGCAGGGUGCCAGUUUUCAGGAGAGAGACAGAGCCGUCCUCCUUCAGUUAUGCGUCAUAUGUUCUUCUGCCCCACUUGACGGGUACCAAGUCAACAUUCACCGUGGAUACAUUCAGACUGUGUUGACAGCGAACCGGGGUCGAUUCUCCUUCUAUUAGAAGGAGCGAUGUCGAAAGUUAGGAAUGCGACAUUUGUCCGUAUCUGUCUCCAAUUCUCUGCGUUAAGUAAUCAAAUUCAACACUAUCCAAAGAUAUCGCACAGUCGGCAAGUGAUAUUUACUGUCCUUGUUUUGUAUAUCUAGUCUAGUUGUCGAGUGAUUGAUAAGCUAGCCUUUGUCUGUGUCGACAUCUGAUGAAAUAUGUCAUCGCUAUGAAUUUGAAGUUUCAGUAAGAUUCUAAUGGCAUCGACAAAUCUCAC
This is a long non-coding RNA of Rhodamnia argentea, 1260 nucleotides long. RefSeq lists it as uncharacterized. The transcript has 2 exons. The record is from RefSeq and is a predicted model, not a curated record. Lineage: Eukaryota; Viridiplantae; Streptophyta; Magnoliopsida; Myrtales; Myrtaceae.